AGUGAGGCGGAGCUACCAUGCAGUCGAGCGGUAACAGAUCCAGCUUGCUGGAUGCUGACGAGCGGCGGACGGGUGAGUAAUGCAUAGGAAUCUGCCCGAUAGUGGGGGAUAACCUGGGGAAACCCAGGCUAAUACCGCAUACGUCCUACGGGAGAAAGGGGGCUUCGGCUCCCGCUAUCGGAUGAGCCUAUGUCGGAUUAGCUAGUUGGUGAGGUAACGGCUCACCAAGGCCACGAUCCGUAGCUGGUCUGAGAGGAUGAUCAGCCACAUCGGGACUGAGACACGGCCCGAACUCCUACGGGAGGCAGCAGUGGGGAAUAUUGGACAAUGGGGGGAACCCUGAUCCAGCCAUGCCGCGUGUGUGAAGAAGGCCCUCGGGUUGUAAAGCACUUUCAGCGAGGAAGAACGCCUAGCGGUUAAUACCCGCUAGGAAAGACAUCACUCGCAGAAGAAGCACCGGCUAACUCCGUGCCAGCAGCCGCGGUAAUACGGAGGGUGCAAGCGUUAAUCGGAAUUACUGGGCGUAAAGCGCGCGUAGGUGGCUUGAUAAGCCGGUUGUGAAAGCCCCGGGCUCAACCUGGGAACGGCAUCCGGAACUGUCAAGCUAGAGUGCAGGAGAGGAAGGUAGAAUUCCCGGUGUAGCGGUGAAAUGCGUAGAGAUCGGGAGGAAUACCAGUGGCGAAGGCGGCCUUCUGGACUGACACUGACACUGAGGUGCGAAAGCGUGGGUAGCAAACAGGAUUAGAUACCUGGGGUAGUC
This 760-nucleotide ribosomal RNA is filed under the name Vreelandella aquamarina. Its description in RNAcentral is "bacterial SSU rRNA". It matches the Rfam family "Bacterial small subunit ribosomal RNA", at positions 38 to 795 of the family's 1533-position model. Lineage: Bacteria; Pseudomonadati; Pseudomonadota; Gammaproteobacteria; Oceanospirillales; Halomonadaceae. The record is from RNAcentral.